UGUCACGAUGAUAAUGGCUUACCUCUGA
Molecule: non-coding RNA, 28 nt
Filed under: Mus musculus (house mouse)
Lineage: Eukaryota; Metazoa; Chordata; Mammalia; Rodentia; Muridae
Source: RNAcentral